This 353-nucleotide unclassified non-coding RNA is filed under the name soil metagenome. Its description in RNAcentral is "partial contains 5.8S ribosomal RNA, internal transcribed spacer 2, and large subunit ribosomal RNA". The stretch from base 1 to 120 matches the Rfam family "5.8S ribosomal RNA", at positions 35 to 154 of the family's 154-position model. The record is from RNAcentral.
GAUGAAGAACGUAGCGAAAUGCGAUAAGUAAUGUGAAUUGCAGAGUUCAGUGAAUCAUCGAAUCUUUGAACGCACAUUGCGCCCGCCAGUAUUCUGGCGGGCAUGCCUGUUCGAGCGUCAUUACAACCCUCAGGCCCCCGGGCCUGGCGUUGGGGAUCGGCGGAAGCCCCCUGCGGGCACAACGCCGUCCCCCAAAUACAGUGGCGGUCCCGCCGCAGCUUCCAUUGCGUAGUAGCUAACACCUCGCAACUGGAGAGCGGCGCGGCCACGCCGUAAAACACCCAACUUCUGAAUGUUGACCUCGAAUCAGGUAGGAAUACCCGCUGAACUUAAGCAUAUCAAUAAGCGGAGGA